CCUACGGGAGGCAGCAGUAGGGAAUAUUGCUCAAUGGGGGAAACCCUGAAGCAGCAACGCCGCGUGGAGGAUGAAGGUUUUCGGAUUGUAAACUCCUGUUGUUAGAGAAGAUAAUGACGGUAUCUAACGAAUAAGCACCGGCUAACUCCGUGCCAGCAGCCGCGGUAAUACGGAGGGUGCAAGCGUUACUCGGAAUCACUGGGCGGAAAGAGCGCGUAGGCGGGAUAGUAAGUCAGAUGUGAAAUCCUAGGGCUUAACCAUAGAACUGCAUUUGAAACUGUUAUACUAGAGUAUGGGAGAGGUAGGUGGAAUUCUUGGUGUAGGGGUGAAAUGCGUAGAGAUCAAGAGGAAUACUCAUUGCGAAGGCGACCUGCUAGAACAUAACUGACGCUGAGGCGCGAAAGCGUGGGGAGCAAACAGGAUUAGAUACCCCUGUAGUC
RNAcentral lists this ribosomal RNA (440 nucleotides) under uncultured bacterium. RNAcentral's name for it is "partial 16S ribosomal RNA". It matches the Rfam family "Bacterial small subunit ribosomal RNA", at positions 338 to 795 of the family's 1533-position model. The record is from RNAcentral.